GAUGAAGAACGUAGCGAAAUGCGAUACUUGGUGUGAAUUGCAGAAUCCCGUGAACCAUCGAGUCUUUGAACGCAAGUUGCGCCCGAAGCCACUAGGCCGAGGGCACGCCUGCCUGGGCGUCACACGCCGUUGCCCCCCCAUCUACUCCUUCGGGAUUGCGGGGGGGCGGAUGAUGGCCUCCUGUGCGCCUAGCCGCGCGGUUGGCAUAAAUACCAAGUCCUCGGCGACGCACGCCACGACAAUCGGUGGUUGCGAAACCUCGGUUGCCCGUCGUGUGCGUUCGUCGCGCAUCGAGGGCUCGAAAAAAUGCUCGGCUCCGGCUGGGCUUUCAACGCGACCCCAGGUCAGGCGGGGUUACCCGAUGAAUUUAAGCAUAUCAAUAAGCGGAGGA
Molecule: unclassified non-coding RNA, 391 nt
Filed under: soil metagenome
Description: partial contains 5.8S ribosomal RNA, internal transcribed spacer 2, and large subunit ribosomal RNA
Rfam family: 5.8S ribosomal RNA (bases 1-122)
Source: RNAcentral